CCCGUAGUGCAGUGAGGCCAUGAUUUCAGCGAAGAAUACCAACCACAGUGACAUAAUCUUGAGCCAGGUUGCACCUCAGAUGGGGAAUGAUGGCAAUAGUUCCCAAAAGCUUGGAUGGGACUUAAAGUACUUACAACGAGCAGAGCAGGAUCGAACAUGUGCAGCUAUAUAGGAGUAUACUUAUGCAUGUAGAAGUUGCGUCGUGCAACAUAUUAGCUACCGUCCAAGCUGUCAAAGUGUGCAUGACUCUUGUCUAUCUUUUUUAGAUGCUUUCAGACAUUCACGUACAAAUGACAGACAUGGGAAGACUAUAAGACGUCAAGAUGAAAGGCUCCUAGCAGCUCUCAGUGUUCCCAACGAAACUGGCAGAAUGGCAGUGGCUGAUUACAAGCUGCCUUUGGAGAACAAAGAAACCGUGACCACAUUAGAAUCCGAGCAGAGCUCCAAUCCUGCUUUCUGAUGACACCUUACACAACGGCUCUCUGUUAUGGGGGACCGGUACUUAAGAAGCUUUACUGCGGGCAUCCUACUCACUAUUUUCAGACAGUUUGGGUGGAAACUUAAGCUAGACCCUAGGCCAGCGGCGGAAAAAGAGCUUCAGGGACGUGCAUGUCUACAGUGCCAUGGAAGAUUCUUCAAAGGAUACUGGACCUGCCGCCAGCUGACAUGACUUUCUUCCUCCUUGCCUUAGUCCUGUUAAGAUGUGGGGUCAGUUUUUCUAGACACGCAAUCCAUAAUAUAUGCAGUCUAGUCAAUCAGUGCAAGGCAUUACAUGCCAUUCAUUUCCUAUGUAUAUAUUUAGUCAGCAUCAAAGCAGGGCAAGCACAUGUACAUAAUUUGCAAGAA
Long non-coding RNA from Dermacentor silvarum, 846 nucleotides. RefSeq lists it as uncharacterized. The transcript has 3 exons. Lineage: Eukaryota; Metazoa; Arthropoda; Arachnida; Ixodida; Ixodidae. The record is from RefSeq and is a predicted model, not a curated record.